Acanthosepion pharaonis is the source of this 113-nucleotide non-coding RNA. The record is from the annotation of a GenBank genome assembly. NCBI's taxonomy places the organism in Eukaryota, Metazoa, Mollusca, Cephalopoda, Sepiida, Sepiidae.
UUGCGGUCAUAUUAUAUUGAAAGACUGGUUCCCGUACGAUCACCGAAGUUAAGCAACUUCGAGUCUCGUUCAUACCUAGAUAGGUGACCGCUUGGGAGUACCAGGUGCUGUAA